CUUUUCUAUCACAUAUCCUCCAUUUAUUAGAGAGGGGCAGAAAUGAUCCUGUGCCUAAACUUUUUAUUCUUAAUUGUACUCCUUGGAGGAGUCCAGUCUCAAGUACAGCUGGUGGAGUCUGGAGGGGAUAUGAGAAGACCUGGGGAGUCCCUCCGUCUCUCCUGCCAAGCCUCUGGAUUCACCUUCAGCGGCUACCACAUGAGCUGGGUGAGACAGGCUCCAGGGAAAGGAUUGGAAUGGGUUGCUACAUCCGCUGGUUACUACUCAGACAAAGUGAAGGGCCGCUUCACAGUCUCCAGGGACAAUGCCAAAAGCCAGCUGUAUUUGCAAAUGAACAGCCUCAAAGCUGAAGACACGGCAAUUUAUUACUGUGCAAGACACACAGUGAGAGGAAGUGAAUCUGAAGCUUCCUCUGGAUUCAUCUUCAGCAGCUAUUAUAUGCGCUGGGUGAGACAGGCUCCAGGGAAAGGCCUGGAAUGUGUGGCCAACAUACAUCCAAGCUCAUCUAACAUUGCUUCAGAUAGUGGUGCUUACUACUCUGACAAAGUGAAGGGCCACUUCACCAUCUCCAGGGACAAUGCCAAAAGCCAGCUGUACCUGCAAAUGAACAAUCUGAAACCAGAGGACACAGCCGUUUAUUACUGUGUGAGAUGCACAGUGUGA
Non-coding RNA from Pantherophis guttatus, 663 nucleotides. The record is from the annotation of a RefSeq genome assembly. Lineage: Eukaryota; Metazoa; Chordata; Lepidosauria; Squamata; Colubridae.